UCUGCCAAAUGUUUAAGUAGCGAAAUUGUACCAAUUUUACAAGCCUCCUUCGAUGGGCUGCAAAUCAUCAUAUCAGCCACAUAAUUUAGAUGGGCCGACCCUGCAGGGAGUUAUAAAUUAUGUAGAUGUUCCUAAGCGCUUCUGUGGAAUACACCUGACUUCUGUGGUAACCCACUGGACAUCCUAUCCAUUUAUAGCCGCGCCCAAAAAAGAAAAAAAAAAAAAAAAAAAAACCAACUUAUGUCUUCUUGUUUGGGAGGCUAUACAAGUCUGCGUGUUGUGUGUAUUCCUCAACGAGCUCUACUGUUCUGUGUACACUUACUCGUGUGAUCAACGUAGUGUGAUCUACAUUACCACCAGCGCUAUACUCUUCAUGAGGAUCCUCUGCACCCGGUCUGAACUUUAGGCCGAGACACACCCAUGCAACCAUGGACCAAGAUCCUGUAUCCCAGUGAGAUGGUUUAGCCAAUGAAAUGUGGAGUAGAAUCGAGGAACACCUUUUUUUUUUUUUUUUCCUUUGGGAAGGAGAGAGAGAUACAGACACCGCAGCAGCCUCCUCUGACCAAUACACAUGCUUCAACCAUAAUCUCUCUUUCUCCAACUUUUGGUCAUGCCAUACGUCCACAUACCUUCUAUCUCGCCCUGUGCUUACAUGGAAUGUGCAAUGUAAUGACUGUUCAUGCAUGUAAUCUUCUACCGUAUGUGUCUGCGCAAUUUUACAUGGUCAUGAGUAAUUAAUGCAUCAAAGUAUGCCAGUAGUUUUCAUCCAUAUACAUACAGGAGGGUUUUUGGACUGUAGUUAAACAUCUAAAAUAAUUGCAAUUUAAUCUUUUCUUUUUUUUUCUUUUUUUUUUCUUUUUCGUGUGUGCCAUCUGAUGUUGAGCUCAAACACAAUGCCAAAUGCUCUUGAGUCAACUACAAGUGUUACCGGAUGGCAAAUCGUCAACGUUAAUUAUGGGAAUUUCUGAAUAUAACUCGACAUGCAAUCUAAGAUGUGUGUGUGUGCGUGUGUGCACAACUAUUUUGUUUCGUUUAUGAGUGUGAUGUGUCUCAUCCUCAUGUGCUCAGGACACUCUGCUCGCCAAUGUCCUUGUUGUCCACAAUUGUAACACACGCUUGGAUCAUAACUCCCGUAAGUCCGAUCUGAUCUGCCUCUGCCACGAGCUCUUCCAUAACCUCUUCCUCUUCCACGUUGGCCUUGGGCAAAUUGUUGGCACUGCAAGCACGUAAACAUUGCAUACUGAGCCUUUUCCAAACCUUUUAGUUUGUCCUUUUUCUUGUGUAACUCAUCUUCAGCGUGUUCAGCGUGCUGAAGGAUGUCUGCAAGAGCACAGGUUUUCCAGGUUACACAUGAUCUUUUCACCAUCCGUUUAAGUUCAGGUCUCAUUCUGCUUAUAAAAUGUUCUUUCAGAUGGACUUCAUAUGGCAUCAGGGGCUGUGCCCCCAUUGGAUCAGGUCGCUUAAGGCCACUGUGGGUGUCAAAAGCUGUCGUCAGGCGUCCCAGGAAUGAGCUGCAUGUUUCUUGUGGCCCUUGUGUCAUAGAGGUGACGGUGGGGAGGUUCAGUCUCAGAGGAAAUUGUUCUUUUACCAACACAAUGAGAGCAUCUACAGCACUUCUAAUGUCCAUAUCUGUGCCGUGCUCACAAUCAGGAUCUUUAAGGCGAGCAGC
Molecule: long non-coding RNA, 1669 nt
Organism: Gasterosteus aculeatus aculeatus (three-spined stickleback)
Lineage: Eukaryota; Metazoa; Chordata; Actinopteri; Perciformes; Gasterosteidae
Source: Ensembl